AUGGCGGUUUGCCAACCAGCUUGGUGGCGGAUCCUGCAUCUUUGUCUCGUGUUUCUCCAUCAUUGGCCGUGUCAGCUAGCGGCUUGCCAACCAAUUUGGUGGCGGAAAUUGUAGCUACUACGCCUGCUUUUAGCUCUGAGACACCAACUUCUGGCUUGGCAAUUUCAAAGGCAACAACUUCUGGUUUUCCGCCAACCAAUACCUCAGGUUCUCCUAAGUUGGUAGCUACCACUUUUUCUGACUUCGCGGCUCAAAAGCCGGCCUCCAACCCCUUUGCUAUAUCAUCCACCUCUUC
Molecule: long non-coding RNA, 295 nt
Organism: Mercurialis annua (annual mercury)
Lineage: Eukaryota; Viridiplantae; Streptophyta; Magnoliopsida; Malpighiales; Euphorbiaceae
Exons: 3
Source: RefSeq, a predicted model, not a curated record